GUAGGUGAACCUGCGGAAGGAUCAUUAAAAAAACUGGCCGCCCUCGCGGGUGGCCUGAUGGUAACCGGCGACCGCCUUCAGGUGGGAGCCGUAAGCCUAAACCCUUUGUGAAAACCCCCGGUUGCUUCGGCAGCUCGUCCGGCGCCCCUCGGGGACCGGACGGUCAGCCUGCCGACGGCACUCCAGGAAACCCUUUGCUGUAAAGAAAGCUUUUAAAAGAGCACCGUCUGAGCGCGAAGUCUAAUGACUAUAAAACUUUCAACAACGGAUCUCUUGGUUCCC
RNAcentral lists this unclassified non-coding RNA (282 nucleotides) under rhizosphere metagenome. Its description in RNAcentral is "partial ribosomal RNA internal transcribed spacer region". The record is from RNAcentral.